GAUGAAGAAGGCAGCGAAAUGCGAUAAGUGAUGUGAAUUGCAGAAUUCAGUGAAUCAUCGAAUCUUUGAACGCACAUUGCGCCCGCCAGUAUUCUGGCGGGCAUGCCUGUCUGAGCGUCAUUUCAACCCUCAUGCCCCUAGGGCGUGGUGUUGGGGAUCGGCCAAAGCCCGCGAGGGACGGCCGGCCCCUAAAUCUAGUGGCGGACCCGUCGUGGCCUCCUCUGCGAAGUAGUGAUAUUCCGCAUCGGAGAGCGAUGAGCCCCUGCCGUUAAACCCCCAACUUUCCAAGGUUGACCUCAGAUCAGGUAGGAAUACCCGCUGAACUUAAGCAUAUCAAUAAGCGGAGGA
RNAcentral lists this unclassified non-coding RNA (348 nucleotides) under soil metagenome. RNAcentral's name for it is "partial contains 5.8S ribosomal RNA, internal transcribed spacer 2, and large subunit ribosomal RNA". The stretch from base 1 to 120 matches the Rfam family "5.8S ribosomal RNA", at positions 35 to 154 of the family's 154-position model. The record is from RNAcentral.